GACGAACGCUGGCGGCGUGCUUAACACAUGCAAGUCGAACGGAAAGGCCCUGCUUUUGUGGGGUUCUCGAGGGGCGAACGGGUGCGUAACACGUGAGUAACCUGCCCUUGACUUUGGGAUAACUUCAGGAAACUGGGGCUACUACCGGAUAGCAGCUCCUGUUCCAUGGUGGGGGUUGGAAAUUUUCGGCGGUUGGGGAUGGAUUCGCGGCUUAUCAGCUUGUUGGUGGGGUAGUGGCUUACCAAGGCUUUGACGGGUAGCCGGCCUGAGAGGGUGACCGGCCACAUUGGGACUGAGAUACGGCCCAGACUCCUACGGGAGGCAGCAGUGGGGAAUAUUGCACAAUGGGCGGAAGCCUGAUGCAGCAACGCCGCGUGCGGGAUGACGGCCUUCGGGUUGUAAACCGCUUUCGCCUGUGACGAAGCGUGAGUGACGGUAAUGGGUAAAGAAGCACCGGCUAACUACGUG
RNAcentral lists this ribosomal RNA (468 nucleotides) under uncultured bacterium. Its description in RNAcentral is "partial 16S ribosomal RNA". It matches the Rfam family "Bacterial small subunit ribosomal RNA", at positions 28 to 507 of the family's 1533-position model. The record is from RNAcentral.